Long non-coding RNA from Gasterosteus aculeatus aculeatus (three-spined stickleback), 745 nucleotides. The record is from Ensembl. Lineage: Eukaryota; Metazoa; Chordata; Actinopteri; Perciformes; Gasterosteidae.
CAAUUAGCAUCCAUCCCCAGGUUUUAACAUUACAUCGUGGCAGGAUGUUAAUGUGUACAGUAAUUAUAUGACUUAAAUGACUAUAAAUGGUGUUUGAUUCAUAUUAUAAUUAUUUAAUCUAACCUGCUAAUGUAAUAACUCAUAUUUAAUAACACACAGACUACAAUUCUAACACUAAACAUUACUACAUGUAUUGUAAUUUCUACUACUAUGUGUGCUCUACUGCUUGAAUCCGUAACAGCAGCACGAGCACGUUUCUACAGAACCAGAGUGACCUGAACGGGGUAGUGAAACCAAGACUGCAGGCUACACACACCCUGCAAGUACUUCAGCGUUAAGCGUUAAUGAAGCAGUCCUGGAACUAUCAUCAGUUGUAAGGAUUACAGGAACUUGGUGUCUCAGGCUCUGCUCUCUCCCUUCUCUCGUCCUACCUCGACGGCCGCACCUACCGAGUAACCUGGCGAGGAUCUGUGUCGGAACCUUGUCCUCUUACUACUGGAGUUCCUCAGGGUUCCGUCCUGGGUCCCCUCCUCUUCUCACUCAGAAGGCAGCGCAGGUACUUAUUCAGGCUCGUGUCAUCUCCCUCCUGGACUACUGUAACUCUCUCCUGCAGGUCUCCUGCUACCACCAUUCCACCUCUGCAGCUCAUCCAGAAUGCAGCAGCUCCACUGGUCUUUAACCUUCCUAAGUUCUCCCUCACUCCUCCACUCCUCCGCUCUCUUCACUGGUACCGGUGGCUUAUCCA